CAGCAGCCGCGGUAAAACGUAGGUGGCAAGCGUUGUCCGGAAUUAUUGGGCGUAAAGGGCUCGCAGGCGGUUUCUUAAGUCUGAUGUGAAAGCCCCCGGCCCAACCGGGGAGGGUCAUUGGAAACUGGGAAACUUGAGUGCAGAAGAGGAGAGUGGAAUUCCACGUGUAGCGGUGAAAUGCGUAGAGAUGUGGAGGAACACCAGUGGCGAAGGCGACUCUCUGGUCUGUAACUGACGCUGAGGAGCGAAAGCGUGAGGAGCGAACAGGAUUAGAUACCCCGGUAGUCCCUGUCUCUUAUAU
Molecule: ribosomal RNA, 301 nt
Filed under: uncultured bacterium
Lineage: Bacteria
Description: partial 16S ribosomal RNA
Rfam family: Bacterial small subunit ribosomal RNA
Source: RNAcentral